Molecule: ribosomal RNA, 468 nt
Filed under: uncultured bacterium
Lineage: Bacteria
Description: partial 16S ribosomal RNA
Rfam family: Bacterial small subunit ribosomal RNA
Source: RNAcentral
GACGAACGCUGGCGGCGUGCUUAACACAUGCAAGUCGAACGGAAAGGCCCUGCUUUUGUGGGGUGCUCGAGUGGCGAACGGGUGAGUAACACGUGAGUAACCUGCCCUUGACUUUGGGAUAACUUCAGGAAACUGGGGCUAAUACCGGAUAGGAGCUCCUGCUGCAUGGUGGGGGUUGGAAAGUUUCGGCGGUUGGGGAUGGACUCGCGGCUUAUCAGCUUGUUGGUGGGGUAGUGGCUUACCAAGGCUUUGACGGGUAGCCGGCCCGAGAGGGUGACCGGCCACAUUGGGACUGAGAUACGGCCCAGACUCCUACGGGAGGCAGCAGUGGGGUAUAUUGCACAAUGGGCGGAAGCCUGAUGCAGCAACGCCGCGUGCGGGAUGACGGCCUUCGGGUUGUAAACCGCUUUCGCCUGUGACGAAGCGUGAGUGACGGUAAUGGGUAAAGAAGCACCGGCUAACUACGUG